AAAACUCUGAGGGCUUCCGCCAAUCAGAGAUAAAGUGUGCUAGCGACCUUCGCCAGCCCCCCAACUUUUGUUUCUUCUGUGUCCUCCAGGUGCCAGCACCCCAGAUCCCAACUUUCUUUACAUUCAAACAGGCCAAGCAAGGGCUUCUUAAGGACCCGAUGAAACUUCCGUGGAACCACAAUAUACCGUGGUUGUUUGCACCUCAGAGUUUCUCAUCUCGGAAUCCAGCGCCCACAUUAAUUCAGGGCAGCAAAGAAGCUAGAGACGUGGGAGGCUGUGCGGCGCUGCGCAAGUAAGUUUUAGAGAGCAGAAACGGUAGGGUCACAGUCCUUUGUUUUGACCUGGAGGAGGAGGAGGAGACCUUUCAGACCGGCCUAGGGGCUCAGCAUUGGAAAGCCACCCAGUUUCCCAGACUACCAGGGAUUUUAAAUGAGUGGGUCUUGUUUUGAAUAGAUAUUACAGGAGAGUGGUCCGUGUGGCUCCCUGGAAGUACAGAGAAACUACCUCCAUGACAUUAUGAUCUUUUGAGAGUAAUUUGUUUAAAUGUCAGGAGGCAGAGGUUGCAGUGAGCCGAGAUCGUGCCAUUGCACUCCAGCCUGGGUGACAGAGCUAGACUCCGUCUCAGAAAAAAAAAAAAAAAAGUGUCAUAAAUACAGAUAAUUAUACCAUUUAAAUAUUUUCAUACUUUGCAAGUAUAUAAUUUUAUGCUUUGUAUAGUAGGAACAGACAAAGUAUAGGACUACACUUUGUAAUUACGCGAAAGUAUCUUCCCUUCUUGUGAAUAGGAAGUCUGUGUGCUGAGUAUACACAUUAAAGUUUUAAACCCUAUUUAUAUUUUGUUUUUAGGUCAUGUUUAGAUAGAGGCAGAAAAGUGCUGUUUCCUAGCUGAUACUUGUUUUGUGUGUGUGGCACUGCUCUUGAACUGUUUGACUCCUCCCCCUCUUUGAUAAGUUGACUCCUGGGCUCUGAGAAUUUGGCCACAGGAAAUGUAUUUUAGUUUGCUUCCCUGGUUAGUUUGUUGUUCAUUGCUUGACGACUCAUCAUAGAAUUUUAGAGCUUGAAAGCUCCUUAGACAAUAUUUGGUCCAAGGCUAUCCUUUCACAGUGAGGACACGGGGACCCAGAUGAGUGGCAGUGGCCAGGCUGGGGUGGGAACCAAAACUCUCUAGGAUCUGGCUUGUCUUUUCCUGAACUGUGGCGCUUAGGGAACAGAUGCGUCUGGUUGAUUCUCAACAUUAUGGCAGCACAAUGAAAAGGAAAAAAAAAAAAAAAAGGAGGGAUUCUCUAAAAUAUUCCUAUCUUUCCUAGGUAAAUUUACCCUGAAAUGAAAACAACUGUGGAACAUUUUCUUUUUUUUUCUUUUCUUUUCUUUUUUUUGAGACGAAGUCUCGCUCUGUCGCCCAGACUGGAGUGCAGUGGCGCGAUCUCGGCUCACUGCAAGCUCCGCCUCCCGGGUUCACGCCAUUCUCCUGCCUCAGCCUCCCAAGUAGCUGGGACUACAGGCGCCUGCCACCACGCCCGGCUAAUUUUUUGUAUUUUUAGUAGAGACGAGGUUUCACCGUGUUAGCCAGGAUAGUUUCGAUCUCCUACCUUGUGAUCCGCCCUCCUCGGCCUCCCAAAGUGCUGGGAUUACAGGCAUGAGCCACCGCGCCCGGCGGAACAUUUUCUUAUAUGUAUAUUCCAGAUAGAGCAUAUUCUGAAAAUGUGAAAUCUUACGCUAAAAUCAGUAGCAACUGGUUGAUAGAGACGUGAUAUGAAUUUCAAAUAAUGUAAGUUUCAGAAUCCGUGAAUUACAAUUUUAAUUAUGUGAAGAUAAAUAAGUUGUACAAAGUCAAUUUCCAUAAGUUGGUUAAUUUCAUAAAAAGUUAAAUUUGAUAAAUAUGGUACGUUCCAUAAGAGGUUAAAUUUCCAUAAAACUAGAGGGCUUAGGUGGCAGUCAUAUGGGAAAACGGGCACACACUGAAGUCUUCACUUUCAUAUAUAAAAAGAGUUGGUUUUGGCCGGGCGUGGUGGCUCACAUCUGUAAUCCCCGCACUUUGGGAGGCUGAGGCGGGCAGAUCACCUGAGGUCAGGAGUUCAAGACCAGCCUGGUCAACAUGGGGAAACCCUGUCUCUAUUAAAAAUACAAAAAUAAGCUGGGCGUGGUGACACGUGCCUGUAAUCCCAGCUACUUGGGAGGCUGAGGCAGGAGAAUUGCUCCAACCUGGGAAGCGGAGGUUGCAGUGAGCCAAGAUCACGCCACUGCCCUCCAUCCUGGGCCACAGAGCAAGACUCCGUCUCAAACAAACAAACAAACAAAAAAAGAGUUGGUUUUGUUUCAUUGGCUAUCCUGGCAAUCCCAACAUUAAUCUGAAGUCUGCCAUGUUCAUGCCCCUUAAGAUGAAAAUCUUUUAGAACCAUAAAAAUGGAAGGAAUGAAUGUUUGUUGAGCUACCAGCAAAUACUAGACAUGCUAGGGGCUUCAUACUCAUGCCCUGUUCCGUGGUAUUCUCAUUUGAGAGGUCAUGGCAGUUACCCUAGGUCACUAAAUGAGUUUGGUUUGGAAACCCAGGAUACAGAACCACACGUGGCUCGAGUACUGAGGGGCUGGCAUCAUUCUUCAUUGACAAGAGCAGGAUCUAAAGGGAUCCUGCCUUGCAGGUGGGCUUCUGAAAUUAAAUAACCUGUAUAGUUGUGUAAAAUGUCAGAAACUUGGAUGAACGCCUUUGGAUCUCAGACCACACCGUAAUAUUGUAGGUUUUUAAAACAAUAUUUCUGCGGUUGAUUUGUUUUUUGGUUAUAUACACUCCUGCUUUAAAAAAUAACUACAAUCAUGCAUCACUUAACGAUGGGGAUGCUUCUAAGAAAUGUGUCAUUAGGUUAUUUCAUCAUUGUACAAAUAUUGUAGAGUGUACUUACACAAACCUAGAUGGUAUGGUCUACUACAUACCUAGGCUGUAUGGUAGAGCCAAUUUCUCCUAGGCUACAAACAGGUACAGCAUGUUACUAUACUGAAUACUGUAGGUGACUGUAACUGGUAAGUAUUCAUGUAUCUAAACAUCAUCUAAACAUAGAAAAGUUACAGCAAAAAUAUGGUAUUAAAACCUUAUGGGACCACUGUCCUGUAUGUGGUCUGUUGAAUAAAACAUUGCUUUGUGGUACAUGACUGUAAAUAAAAUAAAUAAUAAUAAUGAAAUGCCAGGGGGCAGGGGUAGGGGACGAUGAGAAUUCUGGUUAUUUUAAGUCUUGUGUUCAGAGUAUGACUGAAGAUGCCUUUACCUGAAAGCCACAGAGGUCUGAGCCUCAAGGGACUGAAUGAUACCCAAAUCUUCCUCAAGAAUUACCUUUUUUUUUUUUUUUUUUUUGAGAUGGAGUCUUACUCUGUCCCUCAGGCUGGAGUGCAGUGGCACGAUCUCAUGAGCCACCACGCCCAGCUUGCGUUACUUUUAAAAGACGCUGAUAAAUUAGCGGGGCGUGGUGGCACGUGACUGUAGUCCCAGCUACUCGGGAGGCCGAGACAGGAGAAUCGCUUGAACCCGGGAGGCAGAGGUUGGAGUGAGCAGAGAUCGCGCCAUUGCACUCCAGCGAGAUUCUGUGUCAAAAAAAAAAAAGAAAAAAGAAAAAAAAGAAAAAGAAAGAUGCUGACAUGCAUUCUACAUACUGUCAGGUAGUCAGUAUGUCUCUAGAGUUGAAUUUAAUAAUAUGGGAGAAAUGGGAAACAAUACUCCACAAGUUCAUGCUGUCUUGGCUAAAUGCUUCCACCGGUGCUACUGAAUGCUGCCUCCUCUCUAUUCACCCUCCUCACUAUUCGCUUCUCUUUUUCUUUUUUUGAGGGGGGGACAGGGUCUCGCUCUGUCACCCAGGCUGGAGUGCUGUGGUGCGAUCUCGGCUCACUGCAACCUCCGCCUCCCAGGUUCAAGCCAUUCUCCGACCUCAGCUUCCCGAGUAGCUGGGACUACAGGCACACACCACCAUGCCUGGCUGAUUUUUUGUAUUUUUAGUAGAGACGGGGUUUCACCAUGUUGACCAGGCUGGUCUCAGACUCCCGACCUCAGGUGAUCCGCCCGCCUCAGCCUCUCAAAGUGCUGGGAUUACAAGCUGAGCCACCACGCCCGGACUUCACUUCUUAAAUCUAGGUCUUAUUUUGUAAUUUUACUUCAAAGAUUUGUACGUAAGGAAUUUUUUUCUCUUUGGUUUUGUCCCACAAUAAUACAUGAACAUGUGAUUAUAUUUUUAAAAAAUUUAAGUAAAAAACAUAUAUAUAUGUUUAUUUUAAAAGUUCUCCUUUACCUUCCUACCCCAAUCCUCCUAUGCUCAUAGAUAACUGCUGCUAAUGAUCUGUGUUUAGAUAAAAACAGAUUUUGGGGCCGGGCAUGGUGGCUCAUUCCUGUAAUCCCAGCACUUUGGGAGGCCGAGGCGGGCGGAUCACUUGAGGUCGGGAAUUUGAGACCAGCCUGACCAACAUGGCGAAACCCCGUCUCUAUUAAACAUACAAAAGUUAUCCAGGUGUGGUGGUGGGUGCCUGUAAUCCCAACUACUCGGGAGGCCGAGGCAGGAGAAUCUAUUGAACCUGGGAGGCAGAGGUUGCAAUGAGCCAAGAUCGCCCCAGUGCACUACAGCCUGGGUGGCAGAGCAAGACUCUAUCUCAAAAAAAAAAAAA
RNAcentral lists this long non-coding RNA (4637 nucleotides) under Homo sapiens (human). RNAcentral describes it as "HSALNT0353918". Lineage: Eukaryota; Metazoa; Chordata; Mammalia; Primates; Hominidae. The record is from RNAcentral.